AACGCGAAGAACCUUACCUGGGCUUGAACCGCACAGGACCAUCUUUGGAAACAGAGACUUCCCGCAAGGGACCUGUGUAGAGGUGCUGCAUGGCUGUCGUCAGCUCGUGCCGUGAGGUGUUGGGUUAAGUCCCGCAACGAGCGCAACCCUUACUCAUAGUUGCUACCCGCAAGGGAGAACUCUAUGAGGACUGCUCCGGAUAACGGAGAGGAAGGUGGGGAUGAGGUCAAGUCAGCAUGGCCUUUAUGUCCAGGGCUACACACGUGUUACAAUGCGCGCUACAGAGCGUUGCAAACCCGCGAGGGGGAGCUAAUCGCAAAAAAGCGCGCUCAGUUCGGAUUGCAGUCUGCAACUCGACUGCAUGAAGCCGGAAUCGCUAGUAAUGGCGCAUCAGAACGGCGCCGUGAAUACGUUCCCGGGCCUUGUA
Molecule: ribosomal RNA, 427 nt
Filed under: uncultured Acidobacteriota bacterium
Lineage: Bacteria; Pseudomonadati; Acidobacteriota
Description: bacterial SSU rRNA
Rfam family: Bacterial small subunit ribosomal RNA
Source: RNAcentral